AAGGAGAAAAAAAAAAAACCAAAAAAACCUCAAGUCUAAAUGACUACAAAGCUGAAGAGCAUUAAAAAAAAUCUGGGUUGGGAUAGGUGUGUCUACAGUUGGCUGAUAAACAAAUCUUUCAGAGUCUGAAAUUACUACAGUAAGAAACAACUAUUCCUCUUUGUUUCUCGCUUUACAAUAUGUAACGAAUAGUACAGUUUUCUUUCAGUGCCUCUUAUAAUUCAAAUGAGUCGACUCCCUUUUAACAGUAUCAAAGUUAAGAAAAUGAAAUAUUAUUGUGACGUGUAUCUGGCCACCAGUGAACAAGAAGGCAAGGUGUGAUCUCAUGAUAGAUCCAACUUCUACUCAUCUCAAUUAACUAGUCAUCUUGGAGGCUGAAUAAGCAACUACAUAAAUACCAAGACAGAAGGCCUGUUACUGUACAAACUGGGUGUGGUGUCUAGAAACCCUGCAGACUCCUCCAGGCAUAGGAUUCACAGGGAAAUUCUAUGAAAAAAAACACAAAGACAAUAAGCUGAUGAAAUACUGAUGACACACUGGAAUACUUCAAAAUUUAUAGCCAGUUAUGCUCAUCAGUCACAGCCAUUCCUGAUGUUCCCAGAACCAACCAUCAAAUUCCCAACACUUUGACCACUUCCAGAAGAUUGUCUUAAUAGGGUCUCCUGAGGCUGUUGCUUGUAUUAAAACUUCCAAUUGUGAGAGCAACGGCAAGAGUGAGAUGCAUGGCAGAAUGGAGACAGAGGCUUCACAAGUGCAGAGUAGGCAGACCGCACAGGAGUCUGGAUCAAGGCUUCUCACAGCUUAAUGUCCAUGAGAAUCACCUGGGAAUCUCAUUAAACUUCAGAUGCUGAUCAAUUAGGUCUGGAGCCGGGCCAGAGCUUUUGCGUUUCCAACAAGCUCCCAGGUGAUGCUGAUACUGCUGGUCUACAAAUCAUACUACUUUUUGUAACACCAUUCGAAGAGUUAACUUAAUAAAUGGCAGCUAGAAUCCACCUUCCGGAGUGCUGGAGUAGCAAUGAGCCCUAACCAUGUGAGGCCACAUGCAAUCCAGGAAAAGGAACUGAAUUGGCCGGCACCUUGACCUUCAACUUUUGAGCCUCCAGAACUGUGAGAAAAUUAAUUUCUCAUAUUUAAGCACCUGAUCUAUGGUGUUUUGUUAUAGCAGCCCAAGCAGACUAAUACACAGUCAUUCACUCAGUUGUUACCAAAUACCUGAUAACUAAUUUAUUGAAUACCUACUAUAUGCCAGGAACAUUACAUACUUUACCGCUAACCCUCUCAGUAACCCCACAAACUAGAGAUCAUUACAUUCACUUUGGUGAUAAGAAGCCUGAGGCCCAAAGAAUAAUUACCCAAGGUCCCGUAGCUGGUAAGUGAAAAGUCAAGAUUUACUUACUGUAAAGUUCAUUACCUAUCAUACUUCAUGGCCCAGACAUCUCUGCAUCAAGGAGUUUAUGGUAUUUUAGAAAGACAAUCCAGACACAAAAAAGCUGAGUAAUUCAAAAGGUUAAUAAUAGCACAUGACAAAAACACAGAAAUAAUAAGAAGUACUAGGAGUUCCUAGGAGGGAGAGUUCAAGACAUCAUGAAACGCUUCAAUUUCUCCCCCAUAAAAAUAUAGAGAAUUACAUUAAACCAAAUCCUUGUUGAAACCCAUCAAGUACCCAAACCAAGUAAAUAAAGUGGCAAGAGACAUUACAACCUUGGAACAAAGGUAAAAUCUUAAUAGAACUUGCUUUGACAUUUAAAUUAGUACCUUUAAAAGUCACCAAAAAAGCAUUUUCCUGCUACAAGGUAUGCCACAGGUGAUUUGCUUCAUCACAUCUUAAUCUUCAGGAGAAAAAAAUUACACAGAAGCUUAGCUUUUCUAAAUGGUCUACUAUAGUAAACCAGUCAUUGACUAAAAAGGGACAGGGAAAAUAGUUAAAACUAUUUUCUGGAAGUGUGUGAAAUUAGAUUAUCUGCUUAUAUUUAAAGAUAAUUUGAAAAAGUCUGAGAAAUUCUUUCACAAAAGAAGAGCUAUAAAUGGUCAAAUAAAUUUUUAACAAUGCAUAGAUUAGACAGGAAUGUGGAAAACAUAGAACCCAACAUCAUUUUGGAACAAUAUGUCUUCAAUUUUCUUAAAGUGAUAGUUACCUACUUAACUACUAAGCAGCCUUUCUAAAUCGGUAAUUCCGAAGUUAACAUUUUUAAUGUAGAAUACUUUUACAAAAAUGCAAAAUCUUCCAUAGAAAUCUAUGAUAACCUGUACGUGAAAUCUAGGGGGA
Molecule: long non-coding RNA, 2266 nt
Organism: Orcinus orca (killer whale)
Lineage: Eukaryota; Metazoa; Chordata; Mammalia; Artiodactyla; Delphinidae
Exons: 5
Source: RefSeq, a predicted model, not a curated record